Long non-coding RNA from Leptinotarsa decemlineata (Colorado potato beetle), 408 nucleotides. NCBI's taxonomy places the organism in Eukaryota, Metazoa, Arthropoda, Insecta, Coleoptera, Chrysomelidae. The record is from RefSeq and is a predicted model, not a curated record.
UUUUCACUCCAAAGGAAAUUUUUUGAAAAAUCAGCUGUACCUUCCAUAUUUCGCUGUACUUCGAAUUCUAUCAGUCCACGAAUGUUGAGAUUAGAAAAAAGGAAUGGUAAACGUGAUUUGAAGCCAGUUAGUAGUGAAUCAUCUGAAAUUUUCGAAGAUAAAGAUAACCAGCUUCCUCUCAAUGAUAUAAAUUAUCUAGACCUCCAACAAGAAAUUGCCUCAGAAGUUACUUUCCACCCCGAGGAAGAUAAUCCUGAUUAGGAAAGCCACCUAAUCAGCCAGUCCACACAAACAACAACUUUAUUCAGAAUAUUUUGCAAUGAUGAAUUUCUAAUGAACAAAAAAUCUGUUCUUUAUUAUACAGGUCUCUCUUGAGAGAUAUUCUCGAAAUUAAAAUGUCUAUCAUAA